Molecule: non-coding RNA, 47 nt
Organism: Culex pipiens (northern house mosquito)
Lineage: Eukaryota; Metazoa; Arthropoda; Insecta; Diptera; Culicidae
Source: Rfam
AAAAUGGCGCUUUUCAGCGCCAACGAAAAGUUCACGAAAGAGUUAUU